This 249-nucleotide ribosomal RNA is filed under the name uncultured bacterium. RNAcentral describes it as "partial 16S ribosomal RNA". It matches the Rfam family "Bacterial small subunit ribosomal RNA", at positions 15 to 263 of the family's 1533-position model. The record is from RNAcentral.
GAUCCUGGCUCAGGACGAACGCUGGCGGCGUGCCUAACACAUGCAAGUCGAACGGAAGCAAAGAUUUCGGUUUUUGCUUUAGUGGCGAACGGGUGAGUAACGCGUGAGGAACCUGCCUUUCAGUGGGGGACAACAGUUGGAAACGACUGCUAAUACCGCAUAAUGCUUUUUGAUGGCAUCAUUGAAAAGCCAAAGAUUUAUUGCUGAAAGAUGGCCUCGCGUCUGAUUAGCUAGUUGGUGGGGUAACGG